This 77-nucleotide transfer RNA is filed under the name Shigella phage Sf13. RNAcentral's name for it is "tRNA-Asp". It matches the Rfam family "tRNA". Rfam says of the family: Transfer RNA (tRNA) molecules are approximately 80 nucleotides in length. RNAcentral also lists the same sequence under 1 other name. Lineage: Duplodnaviria; Heunggongvirae; Uroviricota; Caudoviricetes; Andersonviridae. The record is from RNAcentral.
GGUUAUGUAGUUUAACUGGUCAAAAUACCUCCCUGUCACGGAGGAUGAUGUGAGUUCGAGUCUCAUCGUAACCGCCA